Non-coding RNA from Camellia sinensis, 811 nucleotides. The record is from RefSeq and is a predicted model, not a curated record. Lineage: Eukaryota; Viridiplantae; Streptophyta; Magnoliopsida; Ericales; Theaceae.
AUGAAAAAAAAGGUUUCAUCACUCUCUCUCUCUCUCUCUCUCUCCCUCCCUCUUUCUCUCUCUAUCAAAUCCCUAAUUUCUUUUCAUGCAUCUCUUUUCUACGGAUUCGAUAUAUGAAUUCACUGGUUCUUCUCAACGAUCUCGUUGAUUGCUUCUGAUCUGUGGUUCAUCAUUGUCUCAAAGCAUCUCUGUCCAGGGCUGGAUCACUCCGUUGCCGCCUCAUCUCUCCUUGAUUCUCCGAUUUCCCGGCGUAUCUCCGGUAGCGAUUCCGAUCAGCUGCAUCAGCCAGUGACAGCUGAAGAUUUGGAAUCCGCUUCUACUACACAAGAAAAUUAAUAGGCUGACUUGAAAUUGAGGGGAGCCUCUUGUUGUCUGCCAGAAUUGCAAUUCAUCUCUCUUGCUUUGGCACAUAAUAAAUUGAAGUUCAGAAAAUCCGUCUGUGUCCCUCUGCACGUGCUGACACAACCACAUGCAUUGAGAAGAAAUUUGCUAAAAACCCAACUAAGGUUGAAGAGCUUGUCACCUAAAGGUAUGUCCACAAGAGGCAGAGGACGAGCAGGGUAUGUACCUAGACCCCAUGCACCUACACCCCAUGCAUCCACUAAAUCAGUUCGCUCAUCCACUCAAUCAACACCUGGACCCCAUGCAUCCAUUAAAUCAGUUCGAUCAUCUACACUGCACCCAUUUACAUCAGAAUCGGUACAUGAAGUUACGUCACAAGUUUCACACUCGGAUACUUCUAGCACACAUUGCAACACUGAUGGUUUGUAAAUAUUUUAAGUUUAUGUUUUGUUUUGGUUGGUGGUUCUCG